CGGUAGAGCGGCGAACGGGUGAGUAUAGGUGGGUAAUGUGCCUUUCGGGUGGGGGACAACUCCGGGAAACCGGGGCUAAUACCGCAUACGUUCCUCGAGUCCUCGGACUUGGGGAAGAAAGAUGCACGCGUAACAGUGUGUGUCACCCGAAGAUCGGCCCGCCCCCCAUUAGCUAGUUGGUAGGGUCAUGGCCUACCAAGGCUACGAUGGGUAGCUGGUCUGAGAGGAUGGUCAGCCACACUGGGACUGAGAUACGGCCCAGACUCCUACGGGAGGCAGCAGUCUAGAGGCUUCGGCAAUGGACGAAAGUCUGACCGAGCGACGCCGCGUGUGGGAUGAAGGCCUUCGGGUUGUAAACCACUGUCAGGGGGAAAGAAUGCCCGAAUGGUGAAUUCGGGAGAGACGGUACCCUCAGAGGAAGCCACGGCUAACUCCGUGCCAGCAGCCGCGGUAAUACGGAGGUGGCAAGCGUUGUUCGGAAUUACUGGGCGUAAAGGGCGCGUAGGCGGAAUGGUCCGUCCGAUGUAAAAGUGCUACCGCUUAACGGAGCAAUGUCAUCGGAUACCACCAUUCUGGAGUUCGGGAGAGGUGAGCGGAAUUGCUGGUGUAGCGGUGGAAUGUACAGAUAUCAGCAAGAACACCUGUGGCGAAGGCGGCUCACUGGCCCGAUACUGACGCUGAGUGCGCAAAAGCGUGGGGAGCAAACGGGAUUAGAUACCCCGGUAGUCCACGCCCUAAACGGUGGGCACUAGGUGUGGGAGGUAUCGACCCCUCCCGUGCCGCAGCCAACGCAAUAAGUGCCCCGCCUGGGAAGUACGGCCGCAAGGUUGAAACUCAAAGGAAUUGACGG
RNAcentral lists this ribosomal RNA (850 nucleotides) under uncultured bacterium. Its description in RNAcentral is "bacterial SSU rRNA". It matches the Rfam family "Bacterial small subunit ribosomal RNA", at positions 88 to 916 of the family's 1533-position model. The record is from RNAcentral.